GGUCUUAUAGUUUAUAUAAAACUUUAAAUUGCAAGUUUGAUAAUGAUUUUAAUCUAAGACUU
This 62-nucleotide transfer RNA is filed under the name Paralaevicephalus gracilipenis. Its description in RNAcentral is "tRNA-Cys". Lineage: Eukaryota; Metazoa; Arthropoda; Insecta; Hemiptera; Cicadellidae. The record is from RNAcentral.